Molecule: ribosomal RNA, 430 nt
Filed under: uncultured Terriglobus sp.
Lineage: Bacteria; Pseudomonadati; Acidobacteriota; Terriglobia; Terriglobales; Acidobacteriaceae
Description: bacterial SSU rRNA
Rfam family: Bacterial small subunit ribosomal RNA
Source: RNAcentral
CGGGUGAGUAACACGUGACUAACCUACCUCCUGAGUGGGGAAUAACUUCUGGGAAACCUGAGGCUAAUACCGCAUAACACUUACGAGUCAAAGCAGCAAUGCGCUUGGAUGAGGGGGUCGCGGCAGAUUAGCUUGUUGGUGGGGUAAUGGCCCACCAAUGCGAUGAUCUGUAUCCGGCCUGAGAGGGCGCACGGACACACUGGAACUGAAACACGGUCCAGACUCCUACGGGAGGCAGCAGUGGGGAAUUUUGCGCAAUGGGGGAAACCCUGACGCAGCAACGCCGCGUGGAGGAUGAAGUCUCUUGGGACGUAAACUCCUUUCGAUCGGGACGAUUAUGACGGUACCGGAAGAAGAAGCCCCGGAUAACUUCGUGCCAGCAGCCGCGGUAAUACGAGGGGGGCAAGCGUAUGUUCGGAAUUAUUGGGCG